UCACCUUUGCACUUCAAAGCGUUCACAAUAAUUAUAUGCAAGUAAUAUACAUAUGGAUAUACCAUGAUGCAAUCUAAUACUCAACCAUGUCAUAGCAUUUUCAAUUAUAUACAUAUACAUACAUAUAUAUAUAUAUAUAUAAUAAUGCAUAAAAUGCAUAAGCUGUAACGCCCUACUCCCGAACUAUUUAUUUUCGGGAAUAAUUAUCGGUGAUAAGCCCAAUUAGACACUAGUUUAAUUAACUAUCAUUACUUACAUUUCCUUACUUCAAUUUCUUGAUUCUUCGCACAUUGAUUUAUGAACAACAUUUAACCACCAAAUCAUAAGUUUAAAUCUCACAUAUUCCACCAAUCUCUUUCACAUUGCUUAAUUCCCC
This 376-nucleotide long non-coding RNA is filed under the name Malus domestica (apple). RNAcentral describes it as "long non-coding RNA (MDOM_LNC007880)". Lineage: Eukaryota; Viridiplantae; Streptophyta; Magnoliopsida; Rosales; Rosaceae. The record is from RNAcentral.